UGGGGAAUUUUGCGCAAUGGGGGAAACCCUGACGCAGCAACGCCGCGUGAGUGAUGAAGGCCUUCGGGUCGUAAAGCUCUGUCAGAGGGAAAGAAGUGCAGUGGUGCUAAUACCAUCAUUGCUUGACGGUACCCUCAAAGGAAGCACCGGCUAACUCCGUGCCAGCAGCCGCGGUAAUACGGAGGGUGCGAGCGUUGUUCGGAAUUAUUGGGCGUAAAGCGCGUGCAGGCGGUCUUUUAAGUCUGAUGUGAAAGCCCCGGGCUCAACCUGGGAAGUGCAUUGGAAACUGGGAAACUUGAAUGCGGGAGAGGGUAGUGGAAUUCCUGGUGUAGGAGUGAAAUCCGUAGAUAUUAGGAGGAACACCGGUGGCGAAGGCGGCUACCUGGACCGAUAUUGACGCUGAGACGCGAAAGCGUGGGGAGCAAACA
Molecule: ribosomal RNA, 428 nt
Filed under: uncultured bacterium
Lineage: Bacteria
Description: bacterial SSU rRNA
Rfam family: Bacterial small subunit ribosomal RNA
Source: RNAcentral